This 1513-nucleotide ribosomal RNA is filed under the name Staphylococcus sp. Its description in RNAcentral is "partial 16S ribosomal RNA". It matches the Rfam family "Bacterial small subunit ribosomal RNA". Lineage: Bacteria; Bacillati; Bacillota; Bacilli; Caryophanales; Staphylococcaceae. The record is from RNAcentral.
AGAGUUUGAUCAUGGCUCAGGAUGAACGCUGGCGGCGUGCCUAAUACAUGCAAGUCGAGCGAACGGACGAGAAGCUUGCUUCUCUGAUGUUAGCGGCGGACGGGUGAGUAACACGUGGAUAACCUACCUAUAAGACUGGGAUAACUUCGGGAAACCGGAGCUAAUACCGGAUAAUAUUUUGAACCGCAUGGUUCAAAAGUGAAAGACGGUCUUGCUGUCACUUAUAGAUGGAUCCGCGCUGCAUUAGCUAGUUGGUAAGGUAACGGCUUACCAAGGCAACGAUGCAUAGCCGACCUGAGAGGGUGAUCGGCCACACUGGAACUGAGACACGGUCCAGACUCCUACGGGAGGCAGCAGUAGGGAAUCUUCCGCAAUGGGCGAAAGCCUGACGGAGCAACGCCGCGUGAGUGAUGAAGGUCUUCGGAUCGUAAAACUCUGUUAUUAGGGAAGAACAUAUGUGUAAGUAACUGUGCACAUCUUGACGGUACCUAAUCAGAAAGCCACGGCUAACUACGUGCCAGCAGCCGCGGUAAUACGUAGGUGGCAAGCGUUAUCCGGAAUUAUUGGGCGUAAAGCGCGCGUAGGCGGUUUUUUAAGUCUGAUGUGAAAGCCCACGGCUCAACCGUGGAGGGUCAUUGGAAACUGGAAAACUUGAGUGCAGAAGAGGAAAGUGGAAUUCCAUGUGUAGCGGUGAAAUGCGCAGAGAUAUGGAGGAACACCAGUGGCGAAGGCGACUUUCUGGUCUGUAACUGACGCUGAUGUGCGAAAGCGUGGGGAUCAAACAGGAUUAGAUACCCUGGUAGUCCACGCCGUAAACGAUGAGUGCUAAGUGUUAGGGGGUUUCCGCCCCUUAGUGCUGCAGCUAACGCAUUAAGCACUCCGCCUGGGGAGUACGACCGCAAGGUUGAAACUCAAAGGAAUUGACGGGGACCCGCACAAGCGGUGGAGCAUGUGGUUUAAUUCGAAGCAACGCGAAGAACCUUACCAAAUCUUGACAUCCUUUGACAACUCUAGAGAUAGAGCCUUCCCCUUCGGGGGACAAAGUGACAGGUGGUGCAUGGUUGUCGUCAGCUCGUGUCGUGAGAUGUUGGGUUAAGUCCCGCAACGAGCGCAACCCUUAAGCUUAGUUGCCAUCAUUAAGUUGGGCACUCUAAGUUGACUGCCGGUGACAAACCGGAGGAAGGUGGGGAUGACGUCAAAUCAUCAUGCCCCUUAUGAUUUGGGCUACACACGUGCUACAAUGGACAAUACAAAGGGCAGCGAAACCGCGAGGUCAAGCAAAUCCCAUAAAGUUGUUCUCAGUUCGGAUUGUAGUCUGCAACUCGACUACAUGAAGCUGGAAUCGCUAGUAAUCGUAGAUCAGCAUGCUACGGUGAAUACGUUCCCGGGUCUUGUACACACCGCCCGUCACACCACGAGAGUUUGUAACACCCGAAGCCGGUGGAGUAACCUUUUAGGAGCUAGCCGUCGAAGGUGGGACAAAUGAUUGGGGUGAAGUCGUAACAAGGUAACC